UACGUAGGGUGCAGGCGUUAAUCGGAAUUACUGGGCGUAAAGCGUGCGCAGGCGGUCUCUUAAGACAGGUGUGAAAUCCCCGGGCUUAACCGAGGAACUGCCUGUCAAACUGCAUGGCUUGAGACCGGGAGAGGUGAGUGGAAUUCCCAGUGUAGCGGUGAAAUGCGUAGAUAUUGGGAGGAACACCAGUGGCGAAGGCGGCUCACUGGACCGGUACUGACGCUGAGGCGCGAAAGCGUGGGUAGCAAACAGG
This 253-nucleotide ribosomal RNA is filed under the name uncultured bacterium. RNAcentral describes it as "partial 16S ribosomal RNA". It matches the Rfam family "Bacterial small subunit ribosomal RNA", at positions 524 to 776 of the family's 1533-position model. The record is from RNAcentral.